AGGGCAGAUGGCGGAUGCCUAGGCUCUUGGAGGCGAAGAAGGACGUGAUAAGCUGCGAUAAGCUGCGGGGAUUGGCACAUACGAAUUGAUCCGCAGAUUUCCGAAUGGGGCAACCCACUAGACAGAAGGUCUAGUAUCUCGUAAGAGAGGUCAACGGGGGGAACUGAAACAUCUCAGUACCCUCAGGAAAAGAAAACAAAAGUGAUUCCCUUAGUAGUGGCGAGCGAACGGGGAUUAGCCCAAACCGCAGAUGUUUCGGCAUCUACGGGGUUGUAGGAGUAGCAGUAAUGUACUAUACACGUGUAGAAGAACGGCAUGGAAAGGUCGACCAAAGAGGGUGAUAGUCCCGUAUUUGAAAUGCGUUUGUAGACAGAGCUACCACCUGAGUAGCGCGGGACACGAGAAAUCCUGUGUGAAUCUGCGGGGCCCAUCCCGUAAGGCUAAAUACUUCCAAGAGACCGAUAGUGAACAAGUACCGUGAGGGAAAGGUGAAAAGAACCUCGAUAAGAGGAGUGCAAUAGACCCUGAAACCAUCUGCUUACAAGCGGUAGGAGCCCCUUCGUGGGGUGACUGCGUGCCUUUUGCAUAAUGAACCUACGAGUUACCGUUGCCGGCAAGGUUAAGUACAGGUAAGUACGGAACCGGAGCGAAAGCGAGUCUGAAUAGGGCGACGAGUCGGUAGAGGUAGACGCGAAACCAAGUGAUCUACCCUUGGUCAGGUUGAAGGAUAGGUAACACUAUCUGGAGGACCCAACCGGUAAGCGUUGAAAAGCUUUCGGAUGAACUGAGGGUAGGGGUGAAAGGCUAAUCAAACUUGGAGAUAGCUCGUACUCCCCGAAAUGCAUUUAGGUGCAGCCUUUGGUGUUUCUUGUAUGAGGUAGAGCGACUGAUUGGAUGCGAGGCUUUCACCGGCUAUCAAGUCCAGACAAACUCCGAAUGCGUACAAGUUAAAGCCAAGGAGUGAGGGCAUGGGUGCUAAGGUCCAUGUCCUAAAGGAGAACAAUCCGGACCAUCGGCUAAGGUCCCGAAAUCACCACUAAGUUGGACAAACGAAGUCAAGAUGCGAAGACAGCUAGGAUGUUGGCUUGGAAGCAGCCAUUCAUUUAAAGAGUGCGUAACAGCUCACUAGUCGAGGAUUUUGGCGUGGAUAAUAAUCGGGCAUAAGUGGUGUACCGAAGCUGUGGGAUGUGAAUACAUCGGUAGGGGAGCAUUCCUAUUGAGCAGAAGAUACAGGAGCAACCUGUGUUGGAUCGAUAGGAAAAGCAAAUGUAGGUAUAAGUAACGAUAAAGGGGGCGAGAAACCCCCUCGCCGAAAGACUAAGGUUUCCUGAUCAACGCUAAUCGGAUCAGGGUUAGUCGGGGCCUAAGGAUAAGCCUAAUGGCGAUUCCGAUGGAAGAACUGGUUAAUAUUCCAGUACUAAUAUAUUGAGUGAUGUGGAGACGGAGAAGUGACACUACUGCCGACUGACGGAAUAGUUGGUUGAAGGGUGUAGAUAAUUGGUUUGUAGGCAAAUCCGCAGACCGAGUCGAACCUGAGAGUACACUGCGUGCGUGCACAAAGUGAUAAUGUAGGUAAGCCAGCUCCCAAGAAAACCCGCUAAACAAUUGAUAUAUUACCCGUACCACAAACCGACACAGGUGGUUGGGUUGAGUAUACUAAGGCGCUCGAGAGAUUCGCGGUUAAGGAACUAGGCAAAAUGGUCCUGUAACUUCGGGAGAUUGAAUUGAAGCCCCAGUAAACGGCGGCCGUAACUAUAACGGUCCUAAGGUAGCGAAAUUCCUUGUCGGGUAAGUUCCGACCUGCACGAAUGGUGUAACGAUGUGGGCACUGUCUCAACCGCGAUCUCGGUGAAAUUGUAGUAUCGGUGAAGAUGCCGAUUACCCGCAACGGGACGAAGAGACCCCGUGAACCUUUACUAUAGCUUUACAUUGUACUUGGGUAUCAGAUGUGUAGGAUAGGCCGGAGACUGAGAGUGGGGCACGCCAGUGCUUCAGGAGUCGCUGUUGAAAUACGGCCCUUUUGAUGUUUGGGUACUAACUUGCUUAAGCAAGGACACUGUAUGGUGGGUAGUUUGACUGGGGUGGUCGCCUCCAAAAGCGUAACGGAGGCUUCUAAAGGUACCCUCAGGCCGAUUGGUAACCGGUCGAAGAGUGUAAUGGCACAAGGGUGCUUGACUGGGAGACAAACAAGUCGCACAGGUAGGAAACUAGAGCAUAGUGAUCCGGUGGUUCCGUAUGGAAGGGCCAUCGCUCAAAGGAUAAAAGGUACUCCGGGGAUAACAGGCUGAUCGCUCCCAAGAGCUCAUAUCGACGGAGCGGUUUGGCACCUCGAUGUCGGCUCGUCACAUCCUGGGGCUGGAGAAGGUUCCAAGGGUUGGGCUGUUCGCCCAUUAAAGUGGCACGCGAGCUGGGUUCAGAACGUCGUGAGACAGUUCGGUCUCUAUCUGUUGUGGGCGUAGAGAUUUGCAGGGCUCUGACACUAGUACGAGAGGACCGUGUUGGACCGACCGCUGGUCUAUCGGUUAUGCCGCCAGGUGUAAUGCCGAGUAGCUAAGUCGGGCUAGGAUAAGUGCUGAAAGCAUCUAAGCACGAAGCCGACCCUAAGAUAAGAUCUCAUUGA
This 2620-nucleotide ribosomal RNA is filed under the name human gut metagenome. RNAcentral describes it as "bacterial LSU rRNA". It matches the Rfam family "Bacterial large subunit ribosomal RNA". The record is from RNAcentral.